RNAcentral lists this long non-coding RNA (710 nucleotides) under Mytilus galloprovincialis (Mediterranean mussel). Lineage: Eukaryota; Metazoa; Mollusca; Bivalvia; Mytilida; Mytilidae. The record is from RNAcentral.
CUUAUAUCUAAAAAACUCCAGCAUUUAGAGCAAAUAAGACUAGAAGUUAAAAUAUUUAUUAGGUCAAGGUCUACCUGUCCUGAAAUUUUCAAUUUGCAAUUUGCAAAAAAAAUAAUUUGUUGUGCUACUUCCAAAAAAUAGAAAAUAUUCUGACCAGAAAAAAACCAUGUCCCCCUACAAGUUAAAUGGUCCAUGCCUAACUGUUAUUAAUGAAAUCAUUUAACUGUUUUGCUGUUAUUGGAGCCCCUUGCCCCUUCUCAGCAGUGGAAUAAAUCCAAAUCAUGAAUGAAGAAAUUCGAAAGAAUAACAAUUUAAUAAUGUAACAAUAACAAUUUUAUUGUUAAAAUUCUUUUAUUGUAACUAUAAUGUAAUAAAAAUAACGUCCUGCCGCUCUUCUUGUAUGCAUAUUAUAUUAGAAGGAAACGUGUAUACAUGGUAGAACUUGUAUUUCUCUCCGGCGCUCUCGGACGCGUCCGGGUUGUUUUUAGUGUGACCGACCGGAAACAGUCUUUCCGUAACUUGAUGGUAAGAAAUAUUACUGCAUUCAGCCUUUUGAAAAUAUUUUCCUUAAUAUUAGUAAAUCUUAGUGUUGUUGUUCAUCCAGCAUUGUUGGUAUUGUUUCUCCAUCGAUCUAUAAAGACUUUUUGUUUCGAUUUUCACCGCUAGUUCUCUUAUAUUCAGGAAAAAUAAUUAAAACAUUGGAAGCACGC